GAUGAACGCUGGCGGCGUGCCUAAUACAUGCAAGUAGAACGCUGAAGGAAGGAGCUUGCUCUUUCCGGAUGAGUUGCGAACGGGUGAGUAACGCGUAGGUAACCUGCCUGGUAGCGGGGAUAACUAUUGGAAACGAUAGCUAAUACCGCAUAACAGUAGAUGUUGCAUGAUAUCUACUUAAAAGGUGCAAUUGCACCACUACCAGAUGGACCUGCGUUGUAUUAGCUAGUUGGUGAGGUAACGGCUCACCAAGGCGACGAUACAUAGCCGACCUGAGAGGGUGAUCGGCCACACUGGGACUGAGACACGGCCCAGACUCCUACGGGAGGCAGCAGUAGGGAAUCUUCGGCAAUGGACGGAAGUCUGACCGAGCAACGCCGCGUGAGUGAAGAAGGUUUUCGGAUCGUAAAGCUCUGUUGUAAGAGAAGAACGAGUGUGAGAGUGGAAAGUUCACACUGUGACGGUAUCUUACCAGAAAGGGACGGCUAACUACGU
Molecule: ribosomal RNA, 495 nt
Filed under: uncultured bacterium
Lineage: Bacteria
Description: partial 16S ribosomal RNA
Rfam family: Bacterial small subunit ribosomal RNA
Source: RNAcentral